RNAcentral lists this ribosomal RNA (510 nucleotides) under uncultured fungus. Its description in RNAcentral is "eukaryotic LSU rRNA". The stretch from base 163 to 316 matches the Rfam family "5.8S ribosomal RNA". The record is from RNAcentral. Lineage: Eukaryota; Fungi.
ACAGAGUUCGUGCCCUUCGGGGUAGACCUCCCACCCGUGUGAACGAUACCUUUGUUGCUUUGGUCGGCCGCGGGCCCGCCCGCUACCGGCUCUGCUGGUACGCGCCGACCAGAGGCCCCAACUCCUGUUUUCUGUGCCGUCUAAGUCCCAUAUAAUCGUCAAAACUUUCAACAACGGAUCUCUUGGUUCUGGCAUCGAUGAAGAACGCAGCGAAAUGCGAUAAGUAAUGUGAAUUGCAGAAUUCAGUGAAUCAUCGAAUCUUUGAACGCACAUUGCGCCCCUUGGUAUUCCGAGGGGCAUGCCUGUUCGAGCGUCAUUAACACCCCUCAAGCCUGGCUUGUCGUUGGACUUUUGGUCGUGUGACCGGUCCGAAAGAUAAUGGACGGGGUGCCUACAGGCCCUAGAUGCAACGAGCUUUUUAAGCACGCAUCGACCGGUCGUACGGCCCCGCCCCAAACCCCAUCUUUUCAGGUUGACCUCGGAUCAGGUAGGAAUACCCGCUGAACUUAA